GCCCUUUUUCUGUUGCACUACUGGACAUUGAGAUGAGCAGUGCAAUAUUAAAAGGGCAU
This 59-nucleotide microRNA precursor is filed under the name Monopterus albus (swamp eel). RNAcentral describes it as "Mal-Mir-130-P1a2_pre stem-loop". Lineage: Eukaryota; Metazoa; Chordata; Actinopteri; Synbranchiformes; Synbranchidae. The record is from RNAcentral.